Molecule: ribosomal RNA, 549 nt
Filed under: uncultured bacterium
Lineage: Bacteria
Description: partial 16S ribosomal RNA
Rfam family: Bacterial small subunit ribosomal RNA
Source: RNAcentral
UGGGGAAUAUUGCACAAUGGGCGAAAGCCUGAUGCAGCAACGCCGCGUGAGGGACGACGGCCUUCGGGUUGUAAACCUCUUUUAGCAAGGAAGAAGCGAAAGUGACGGUACUUGCAGAAAAAGCGCCGGCUAACUACGUGCCAGCAGCCGCGGUAAUACGUAGGGCGCAAGCGUUAUCCGGAAUUAUUGGGCGUAAAGAGCUCGUAGGCGGUUUGUCGCGUCUGCUGUGAAAACCCGAGGCUCAACCUCGGGCCUGCAGUGGGUACGGGCAGACUAGAGUGCGGUAGGGGAGAUUGGAACCCCUGGUGUAGCGGUGGAAUGCGCAGAUAUCAGGAAGAACACCGAUGGCGAAGGCAGAUCUCUGGGCCGUAACUGACGCUGAGGAGCGAAAGGGUGGGGAGCAAACAGGCUUAGAUACCCUGGUAGUCCACCCCGUAAACGUUGGGAACUAGUUGUGGGGUCCAUUCCACGGAUUCCGUGACGCAGCUAACGCAUUAAGUUCCCCGCCUGGGGAGUACGGCCGCAAGGCUAAAACUCAAAGGAAUUGAC